Molecule: long non-coding RNA, 1338 nt
Organism: Apteryx haastii (Great spotted kiwi)
Lineage: Eukaryota; Metazoa; Chordata; Aves; Apterygiformes; Apterygidae
Source: Ensembl
AUGAAUUACAUGUUUGAAAGCAGAUUAGGGCCUAGCUCUCAGCUCUUUGAAGCCCCGAUCUCCCCUAUAGCUGCUUUGUACUGCUGCCUCCGCAUACUGUAUACUUGUAGAGCUGCUUGCCCCCUGCGUCCCCCCUCCCUCGGAGGGCUCAGCUGGCUGCGCCCCGCCACCACCGCGCUCUGCGUCCGCCCGAGCUGCGGGAAGGCAGCGGCCUGUCCCGCCACCGCCACGCUCUGCGUCCGCCCGAGCUGCGGGAAGGCGGCGGCCUGUCCCACCACCGCCACCGCCACGCUCUGCGCCCGCCCGAGCUGCGGGAAGGCAGCGGCCUGUCCCACCACCGCCACCGCCGCACUCUGCGUCCGCCCGAGCUGCGGGAAGGCAGCGGCCUGUCCCGCCACCGCCACGCUCUGCGUCCGCCCGAGCUGCGGGAAGGCAGCGGCCUGUCCCACCACCGCCACGCUCUGCGCCCGCCCGAGCUGCAGGAAGGCGGCGGCCAGCCCCGCCACCACCACGCUCUGCGUCCGCCCGAGCUGCGGGAAGGCGGCGGCCUGUCCCACCACCACCGCCACGCUCUGCGUCCGCCCGAGCUGCGGGAAGGCGGCGGCCUGUCCCACCACCACCACGCUCUGCGUCCGCCCGAGCUGCGGGAAGGCGGCGGCCUGUCCCACCACCGCCACCGCCACGCUCUGCGUCCGCCCGAGCUGCGGGAAGGCAGCGGCCUGUCCCGCCACCACCACCGCCACGCUCUGCGCCCGCCCGAGCUGCGGGAAGGCGGCGGCCUGUCCCACCACCACCAACGCCACGCUCUGCGCCCGCCCGAGCUGCGGGAAGGCAGCGGCCUGUCCCACCACCACCACCGCCACGCUCUGCGCCCGCCCGAGCUGCGGGAAGGCAGCGGCCUGUCCCACCACCGCCGCGCUCUGCGCCCGCCCGAGCUGCGGGAAGGCGGCGGCCUGUCCCGCCACCGCCACGCUCUGCGUCCGCCCGAGCUGCGGGAAGGCAGCGGCCGGCCCCAGCCAGGGCCACGUUCUGCUCCCGACGGCUCCGCACGGGAACGCGCACACCUCCCCAUCGCCUGGGAAGCUGGAGGUGGGCAGCCGUCUCCAGCCCUCCCUUCCCCAGCGCAAGCACGCGGGUGCACCCAUGCACGGCAGGCAAGGGCGCCAACCCAAUUCUACCUACAGAGAAAUUCUGCUUUGCACAAAUUGCUGUGCUAAUUUUAAAUAUUUUCCCAUCGUUGAUAAGUGCUUUCCAAAGCUGGCAGCUCAGAUGGCAGUAGCAAAAAUAUGGACGUGUGAUAUUUAUAUCAAAUCUCAUAUACCCAAAAUAGUCUUUUGA